CUCACCGCCCCGCUCUCUCUCGCAGUGCCCCAAGCCGGUGAUCGUGGCGGUGCACGGCGCCUGCGUCGGCGGAGGCGUCGACCUGAUCUCCGCCUGCGACAUCCGCUACUGCAGCCAGGACGCCUGGUUCCAGGUGAAGGAGGUGGACAUCGGGUUGGCAGCCGACGUGGGCACCCUGCAGCGUCUCCCGAAGAUCGUGGGCAACCAGAGCUUGGUGAACGAGCUGGCCUUCACCGCGCGCAAGAUGAUGGCCCCCGAGGCCCAGAGCUGCGGCUUGGUGAGGCGACGCUGCUGGAGGGCGCCCUGGACCUGGCGGCCACCGUGGCCACCAAGAGCCCCGUGGCCGUGCAGGGCACCAAGGUGAACCUGGUGUACGCGCGGGACCACCCCGUCCCCGAGGGCCUGCGCUACAUCGUGAGUGACCUCCCCGUCCCCGUGCCRUCCCCAACGGUGCCCCGGCCCUGUCCCCAUGCCCAUCCCUCUCUCCAUGCCCGUGUCAUCGCUGUCCCCAUGCCGUCCCCGAGGGCGCCCCAUCCCUGUCCCCAUGCCGGUGUUGUCCCCAUGCCUGUGUCAUCCCUGAGAGCACCCUGUCCCUGUUCUCAUGC
This 605-nucleotide long non-coding RNA is filed under the name Apteryx haastii (Great spotted kiwi). RNAcentral describes it as "lncRNA (ENSAHAG00000001206.1)". The record is from RNAcentral. Lineage: Eukaryota; Metazoa; Chordata; Aves; Apterygiformes; Apterygidae.